Molecule: ribosomal RNA, 301 nt
Filed under: uncultured bacterium
Lineage: Bacteria
Description: partial 16S ribosomal RNA
Rfam family: Bacterial small subunit ribosomal RNA
Source: RNAcentral
CAGUAGCCGCGGUAAUACGUAUGGGGCGAGCGUUGUCCGGAAUUAUUGGGCGUAAAGGGUACGUAGGCGGUUUUUUAAGUCAGGUGUGAAAGCGUGAGGCUUAACCUCAUUAAGCACUUGAAACUGGAAGACUUGAGAGAAGGAGAGGAAAGUGGAAUUCCUAGUGUAGCGGUGAAAUGCGUAGAUAUUAGGAGGAAUACCGGUGGCGAAGGCGACUUUCUGGACUUUUACUGACGCUCAGGUACGAAAGCGUGGGGAGCAAACAGGAUUAGAUACCCCUGUAGUCCCUGUCUCUUAUACA